Molecule: ribosomal RNA, 462 nt
Filed under: uncultured bacterium
Lineage: Bacteria
Description: partial 16S ribosomal RNA
Rfam family: Bacterial small subunit ribosomal RNA
Source: RNAcentral
GACGAACGCUGGCGGCGUGCUUAACACGUGCAAGUCGAACGGAAAGGCCCUUCGGGGUACUCGAGUGGCGAACGGGUGAGUAACACGUGGGUGAUCUGCCCUGCACUUUGGGAUAAGCCUGGGAAACUGGGUCUAAUACCGAAUAGGACCGCGCGCUUCAUGGUGUGUGGUGGAAAGCUUUUGCGGUGUGGGAUGGGCCCGCGGCCUAUCAGCUUGUUGGUGGGGUAAUGGCCUACCAAGGCGACGACGGGUAGCCGGCCUGAGAGGGUGACCGGCCACACUGGGACUGAGAUACGGCCCAGACUCCUACGGGAGGCAGCAGUGGGGAAUAUUGCACAAUGGGCGCAAGCCUGAUGCAGCGACGCCGCGUGAGGGAUGACGGCCUUCGGGUUGUAAACCUCUUUCACCAGGGACGAAGCGCAAGUGACGGUACCUGGAGAAGAAGCACCGGCCAACUACGUG